GACGAACGCUGGCGGCGUGCCUAAUACAUGCAAGUCGAACGCACUCUCGUUUAGAUUGAAGGAGUUUGCUCCUGAUUGAUAAACAUUUGAGUGAGUGGCGGACGGGUGAGUAACACGUGGGUAACCUGCCCUAAAGUGGGGGAUAACAUUUGGAAACAGAUGCUAAUACCGCAUAAAACCUAACACCGCAUGGUGUAGGGUUGAAAGAUGGUUUCGGCUAUCACUUUAGGAUGGACCCGCGGUGCAUUAGUUAGUUGGUGAGGUAAAGGCUCACCAAGACCGUGAUGCAUAGCCGACCUGAGAGGGUAAUCGGCCACACUGGGACUGAGACACGGCCCAGACUCCUACGGGAGGCAGCAGUAGGGAAUCUUCCACAAUGGACGAAAGUCUGAUGGAGCAACGCCGCGCGAGUGAAGAAGGUUUUCGGAUCGUAAAACUCUGUUGUUGGAGAAGAAUGUAUCUGAUAGUAACUGAUCAGGUAGUGACGGUAUCCAACCAGAAAGCCACGGCUAACUACGUG
Molecule: ribosomal RNA, 520 nt
Filed under: uncultured bacterium
Lineage: Bacteria
Description: partial 16S ribosomal RNA
Rfam family: Bacterial small subunit ribosomal RNA
Source: RNAcentral